RNAcentral lists this ribosomal RNA (253 nucleotides) under uncultured bacterium. Its description in RNAcentral is "partial 16S ribosomal RNA". It matches the Rfam family "Bacterial small subunit ribosomal RNA", at positions 524 to 776 of the family's 1533-position model. The record is from RNAcentral.
UACGGAGGAUCCAAGCGUUAUCCGGAAUCAUUGGGUUUAAAGGGUCCGUAGGCGGCCUUAUAAGUCAGUGGUGAAAUCUCUGGGCUUAACCCAGAAAUUGCCAUUGAUACUGUAGGGCUUGAGUAUAGAUGCCGUUGGCGGAAUAUGACAUGUAGUGGUGAAAUACAUAGAGAUGUCAUAGAACACCGAUUGCGAAGGCAGCUAACGAAACUAUAACUGACACUGAGGCUCGAAAGUGUGGGGAUCAAACAGG